This 206-nucleotide ribosomal RNA is filed under the name uncultured Polaromonas sp. Its description in RNAcentral is "partial 16S ribosomal RNA". It matches the Rfam family "Bacterial small subunit ribosomal RNA", at positions 1179 to 1382 of the family's 1533-position model. Lineage: Bacteria; Pseudomonadati; Pseudomonadota; Betaproteobacteria; Burkholderiales; Comamonadaceae. The record is from RNAcentral.
AUGACGUCAAGUCCUCAUGGCCCUUAUAGGUAGGGCUACACACGUCAUACAAUGGAUGGUACAAAGGGUCGCCAACCCGCGAGGGGGUAAGCCCAAUCCCAUAAACCAUUCGUAGUCCGGAUCGCAGUCUGCAACUCGACUGCGUGAAGUCGGAAUCGCUAGUAAUCGUGGAUCAGAAUGUCACGGUGAAUACGUUCCCGGGUCUU